UUCGAGCUAGUCAGAUGGAAAUUGGAAUGGGUGUUUAAAAUUAGUGUACAUGGGCAGAUCUGUUGGGGGGUUUGGGGGUCUCCUUUGACGUUGAGGCAUGGUCGAAUCGAACCUGCCAAAUCGAUUGACCCUCCGGCAUUCCUGCAAGUUAGGCCCGCUGAAUUGCGACCGCACUGUUGAAACGUCGGAUUGAAGGCAGAAGAUUUGGUGGUCAUCUCUGCAACCUCAUCUCCUCCUCUUUCCGCCAUCCAUCCCGGAGCAAUCGUAGGACUCGUGCUCGAGCGGAAGCUAAGCCUCAACCCUUCUCUGCGGCAUUCUCAAGCAAAUUCGACAAUCUCAAGCACUUUUAAUAUUGAUUUGUCAACGUUAAUCACUUUUUUUAAAUGCGGAUGGCAGCUGUAUUUCAUCUGAGGAACAAUUUCCACUUCCUCAUACCCUCGGUAUUUCAUUCUAUUUAGCUUACCAAGAUGACGGAAGACUGCAACAACCAGCGCCUCGAUUGCCGUUAGUUUGCUUGCGAGGACAGGCAUGCCAUUGACCACAGCUUUGCAAGCGAAGACUGAAUGGCUCAAAGAACAAAUCUGCACCAUAUGUUGGAAUUAGGAGGUUUGAGGUUCCACCUGCACGAACAAAGUCAGCGACUUCUGAACGUAGCGCCAUUACCGUAUCAGAAAAGAACGGACAAUUUAGAACUAUCAAUCGUCAAGGACUUAUCAUCAAAGAAAUGCUGAUGUGAAGUGUUUUAUUAUCAUACGUUGCACCUCAUCUCCCCCUGUUUCUCCUAUCCCCUGAGCAAUCCUCCUCCUCUUUCCCUGCUAACGAAGACCCCCUCAGGAGGAAGCUGAGCCUCGGCCGUUCUUUGAGGCAUUUCGCUAUAUGGGUUUCACCGGAAUCAAACAUGACUUAUCUAGUAGUUCACCAGAAUCAAACAUAGAAAUAAAUCACGCUGAUAAAUUGAAUCCUACAAAGUUAUGCUUUGAUUUCUGAAUGGAGGAGCUUCAUGCAUGGUGUAUUGACAAGAUUUGUGUUUGUCGUCUUAAAACGUAGACUCAAUGUCCAAUCUUUGAGGCAUACUUCCUUUAUGUUUGGUCUUGUGAAUAUUGUAUACAUUUUCACUCAACAUCGGUUUCUCAAUAAAACUAUUGCCUAGAUGUAAGCAUACUUUCCGUAUUUCAAUCAUUCAUGAUCGCUCUACAGUUUUUGAACAUCAAAAUAAAUGACUAGGGAUGUGACUUCACCUCCCUUAUUACUAGAACUAUAUAAAUACGGCCUCUCAGUCAAGAGGAGGGGGGGAAAACGAGGAGAUCGUCUGCAGGAGGCCUGUGCUGUAUUCGGCAAGGCGAAAGUAGGAGUAUCCUCCUUUGCUCACUGUUCUUUCUUUUCCUGUUCAAUCUUCCUCAUCUCUAUUCACAAUCCUCAGAUCUGGAGAUUCCGAUCUGAGGAGUGCAUCUCGACAUGAUCGAAUAUUACAAUUCUUUUCACACAUAGCAAGAAUCGUAUCAGAAAUUUUCUCCAACUUUUCUCCAUAAUUCUAUUAUACUUUCUCUAUGUUUUCCAGCGUAAAAAACUGAUACCAUUUAAGUAUGCUGCAAUACGUUUUAAAGAGAAAUAUGACACCAGUUUAAAUGAUUUUAUUCCAUGGAAACCAGGGAUCAAUUCCAGGAACAAAUGGACUUUAUAUUUGAAGUACAGGUCAACCAAACAGUUAAGCAACAAUAUUUAUUAAAUGUACAGCUGCACGGAUAGUGAAGCGGUUGGGACAGUCGGCUUACGCUGCGCUGCUCAACCAGCAUGUUCCUCCCAUCAAAGCAAGCAGGAAAACACAAAAUUAAGGGACAGUAGUAACCGGCAAGAAAGGACCGCGGUAGAUCAUCCUUGACCCAUUAUAUGCAACGAAGGGGAAAUUUUGGUUUAAAGGAAGAAAGUUUGAACAAAUGUUCGAAGACGACAAAUACCUCAAGGGUGAGAUUUUCUGAUAGCUGGCGAGGUUUAAAGAAGACGAUGUAGACGUGAAGAAUACAAGUCGCAGUCGGAUUCCUCCAGACGAUUAUCUGUGAACGGCCUGAAUAUCUUGAGGGAGUUCGUCUUCCAAUUCAACAGAUCAGGCAACCCCCUUGGAGUCAACCACGAGUGGCCAAGACUCCAGCUGGAGGCGAGGCCAUAGAUGAAAUGCACUGGUUUUCCCGAGCCAACAGCCACCGGUGCCGGAGCAGAGAGGGGAUUGAAAGAGAGGGAAGUGGUGAGAAGCCUUAAAACCAGAGGAUCUACAAAGAGGUAUUAUAGCCUUCCCUAAUCAAUCUUGUUUUGGGAUCUGUUAGAGUUCUGCAUAAUAGCGAGUCAGAUUCCCCGGUGGGCCUGAAGUCACUUUCACAAGCCAGGAAGUCAAAUGGUGCCGACAAACCAAGACCGCGUCUAAAAAGGACAUGAGGGUGGGCUCCGUCUGCAAUUGCCAACGCUUCCCACGGGGUCAGGGUUCGCUUGCGAGCACAGGCAAGCAUUGGAUGACAUUGAG
This 2512-nucleotide long non-coding RNA is filed under the name Spirodela polyrhiza (greater duckweed). RNAcentral describes it as "long non-coding RNA (SPOL_LNC000125)". The record is from RNAcentral. Lineage: Eukaryota; Viridiplantae; Streptophyta; Magnoliopsida; Alismatales; Araceae.